This 253-nucleotide ribosomal RNA is filed under the name uncultured bacterium. RNAcentral's name for it is "partial 16S ribosomal RNA". It matches the Rfam family "Bacterial small subunit ribosomal RNA", at positions 524 to 776 of the family's 1533-position model. The record is from RNAcentral.
UACGUAGGGGGCGAGCGUUGUCCGGAAUCAUUGGGCGUAAAGCGCGUGUAGGCGGCCAUCCAAGUCCGGUGUGAAAGCUCGGGGCUCAACCCCGAGUCUGCACUGGAAACUGGAUGGCUUGAGUCCGGAAGAGGAGACUGGAAUUCCUGGUGUAGCGGUGAAAUGCGCAGAUAUCAGGAAGAACACCGGUGGCGAAGGCGGGUCUCUGGGACGGUACUGACGCUGAGACGCGAAAGCGUGGGGAGCAAACAGG